This is a non-coding RNA of Doryrhamphus excisus (bluestripe pipefish), 1346 nucleotides long. NCBI's taxonomy places the organism in Eukaryota, Metazoa, Chordata, Actinopteri, Syngnathiformes, Syngnathidae. The record is from RefSeq and is a predicted model, not a curated record.
GUAACAUCAAUGACAACACAAAAGCGAUUUUAAGAAACUACUGAAAUCCGAGUGUCAAGACAAUGGCAGAGAACACAUCUGUUUUUUGUGGGAGGGGAUCCGCUGUCUGGUGUGCAGUUGUGCAUGUUGUCUAUGUAUCUGGUCUCAUCAUGGGAUGAGACACACACCCACAGACACAACUCAAACACCAGCAGCCCUUAACAAGGAGGGGAGCACGGAGAACCCAACAGCUGCGGCCUAAAAAACUGGAGACAAAAGCCGAAAAGGAUGUACCGCUUCAUUGAAGACGGGACUAAAAAGCCAUGGCAAUUUGUUUGUGGUCCGGUCUAUAUGUUGGUGGACGAUUGGGUCUUAGUCCGGUUUUCAUGGUGCAAAUGGCAACUUCAAUAGCAAGUUUGUGUUGUUUUUUGGAGGAGGCAUGUAUUACAUCUGCCUACUGUGUGGUAGGUUAGAUAUUGAUUGUGGUCUCAGGUUGCAGGAUUAAAUAUUGUCCAUGAAAUAUUGCAGAAGGGUGUCGAAUUGGCAAAUGAAGAACCCCAUUAAAUAUUACUACUUCAACCAGAUUAAAACAAAUUUCCGUUUUCAACAUUUGAUUCACUUGACAGUUGACAGUCUGUCCAUUCCUAACAUGUCUACACGACUUCUGGUUUUUUUUUUUUUUAAGAUAAUUUGUCUGUAUUUUCCAGUCCGUCUAAUGCUAAUUUUGUCAAUCCAAGUCUACGCAAGCUGUGUACUAUUUUCCAAAACUACUAUUUUUCUUUUGGCUUUGGCUUUCAAUACCUGCAAAGGUAAUUGCAAUGUUUUUAUUGCUAAAAAUUGAGCAUGAGUGACUUUCCAAAACUAAACAUUGGGCUUGUGUCAAUCGAAAUGUACGCCAUUAUUGCAUGUAUUUAAGCUAGGGCUGAAUAUUUAAUCACAAUUAAUCUUAUUUUGUCCAUAGUUAACUUGGUGUUAAUCACAUUUAAUCACAGAUAGAAAUAUGUUUUUAUUUCCAAUAACUGAAGUGGCACUUCACAAUAAUGUAUAUAUAUAUCCGAUGAACGUAAUGGCCACUUGUAGCUCGCUGGUGGGACAAAAACAAGCUAGCUAAAUGCCACCUGCCAGGCAAAAUGUGUAAACAAAAAUGACGGAAUGAGAUUGAAAUGUGAACGAUCACACACUUGACAAAAAAGUCAAACUUUUUGGAAGGUGUGAGUCUCAUUACAUCUGUAACCAUUUCUGAAAAGAACACCAUACCAACAGUAAAAUAUGGUGGCGUUAGUGUGAUGGUCUGGGGCUGUUUUGCUGUUUCAGGGCAUUGGAAGACUUGUCGUCAUAAAGGAAGGAUAUAAAUUCACUAUAACUCA